ACGAAGGGGGCAAGCGUUGUUCGGAAUUACUGGGCGUAAAGGGCGCGUAGGCGGCUUACCAAGUCAGGCGUGAAAUUCCCGGGCUCAACCUGGGGGCUGCGCUUGAUACUGGUGAGCUUGAAUACGGGAGAGGAUAGUGGAAUUCCCAGUGUAGAGGUGAAAUGCGUAGAGAUCUGGAGGAACACCGAUGGCGAAGGCAGCCCCCUGGGCUAACACUGACGCUCAUGCACGAAAGCGUGGGGAGCAAACAGGA
RNAcentral lists this ribosomal RNA (253 nucleotides) under uncultured prokaryote. RNAcentral's name for it is "partial 16S ribosomal RNA". It matches the Rfam family "Bacterial small subunit ribosomal RNA", at positions 525 to 777 of the family's 1533-position model. The record is from RNAcentral.